AGAGUUUGAUCAUGGCUCAGAGCGAACGCUGGCGGCAGGCUUAACACAUGCAAGUCUAACGGACGCAGCAAUGCGUCAGUGGCAGACGGGUGAGUAACACGUGGGAACGUGCCCUUCGGUUCGGAACAACCCAGGGAAACUUGGGCUAAUACCGGAUACGUCCGCAAGGAGAAAGAUUUAUCGCCGAAGGAUCGGCCCGCGUCUGAUUAGCUUGUUGGUGAGGUAACGGCUCACCAAGGCGACGAUCAGUAGCUGGUCUGAGAGGAUGAUCAGCCACACUGGGACUGAGACACGGCCCAGACUCCUACGGGAGACAGCAGUGGGGAAUAUUGGACAAUGGGCGCAAGCCUGAUCCAGCCAUGCCGCGUGGGUGAUGAAGGCCUUAGGGUUGUAAAGCCCUUUCGGCGGGGAAGAUAAUGACGGUACCCGCAGAAGAAGCCCCGGCUAACUUCGUGCCAGCAGCCGCGGUAAUACGAAGGGGGUUAGCGUUGCUCGGAAUCACUGGGCGUAAAGCGCACGUAGGCGGAUUGCUAAGUCAGGGGUGAAAUCCUGGAGCUCAACUCCAGAACUGCCCUUGAUACUGGCGACCUUGAGUCCGGGAGAGGUGAGUGGAACUGCGAGUGUAGAGGUGAAAUUCGUAGAUAUUCGCAAGAACACCAGUGGCGAAGGCGGCUCACUGGCCCGGUACUGACGCUGAGGUGCGAAAGCGUGGGGAGCAAACAGGAUUAGAUACCCUAGUAGUCC
This 744-nucleotide ribosomal RNA is filed under the name uncultured bacterium. RNAcentral's name for it is "bacterial SSU rRNA". It matches the Rfam family "Bacterial small subunit ribosomal RNA", at positions 8 to 796 of the family's 1533-position model. The record is from RNAcentral.